UUAUUGGGCGUAAAGAGCUCGUAGGCGGUUUGUCGCGUCUGCCGUGAAAGUCCGGGGCUUAACUCCGGAUCUGCGGUGGGUACGGGCAGACUAGAGUGCAGUAGGGGAGACUGGAAUUCCUGGUGUAGCGGUGAAAUGCGCAGAUAUCAGGAGGAACACCGAUGGCGAAGGCAGGUCUCUGGGCUGUAACUGACGCUGAGGAGCGAAAGCAUGGGGAGCGAACAGGAUUAGAUACCCUGGUAGUCCAUGCCGUAAACGUUGGGCACUAGGUGUGGGGGACAUUCCACGUUUUCCGCGCCGUAGCUAACGCAUUAAGUGCCCCGCCUGGGGAGUACGGCCGCAAGGCUAAAACUCAAAGGAAUUGACGGGGGCCCGCACAAGCGGCGGAGCAUGCGGAUUAAUUCGAUGCAACGCGAAGAACCUUACCAAGGCUUGACAUGAACCGGAAUGAUGCAGAGAUGUGUCAGCCACUUGUGGCCGGUUUACAGGUGGUGCAUGGUUGUCGUCAGCUCGUGUCGUGAGAUGUUGGGUUAAGUCCCGCAACGAGCGCAACCCUCGUUCCAUGUUGCCAGCGGGUUAUGCCGGGGACUCAUGGGAGACUGCCGGGGUCAACUCGGAGGAAGGUGGGGACGACGUCAAAUCAUCAUGCCCCUUAUGUCUUGGGCUUCACGCAUGCUACAAUGGCCGGUACAAAGGGUUGCGAUACUGUGAGGUGGAGCUAAUCCCAAAAAGCCGGUCUCAGUUCGGAUUGAGGUCUGCAACUCGACCUCAUGAAGUUGGAGUCGCUAGUAAUCGCAGAUC
RNAcentral lists this ribosomal RNA (801 nucleotides) under uncultured bacterium. Its description in RNAcentral is "bacterial SSU rRNA". It matches the Rfam family "Bacterial small subunit ribosomal RNA", at positions 551 to 1350 of the family's 1533-position model. The record is from RNAcentral.